GAUGAACGCUGGCGGCGUGCCUAAUACAUGCAAGUCGAGCGAACGGACGAGAAGCUUGCUUCUCUGAUGUUAGCGGCGGACGGGUGAGUAACACGUGGAUAACCUACCUAUAAGACUGGGAUAACUUCGGGAAACCGUAGCUAAUACCGGAUAAUAUUUUGAACCGCAUGGUUCAAAAGUGAAAGACGGUCUUGCUGUCACUUAUAGAUGGAUCCGCGCUGCAUUAGCUAGUUGGUAAGGUAACGGCUUACCAAGGCAACGAUGCAUAGCCGACCUGAGAGGGUGAUCGGCCACACUGGAACUGAGACACGUUCCAGACUCCUACGGGAGGCAGCAGUAGGGAAUCUUCCGCAAUGGGCGAAAGCCUGACGGAGCAACGCCGCGUGAGUGAUGAAGGUCUUCGGAUCGUAAAACUCUGUUAUUAGGGAAGAACAUAUGUGUAAGUAACUGUGCACAUCUUGACGGUACCUAAUCAGAAAGCCACGGCUAACUACGUG
This 497-nucleotide ribosomal RNA is filed under the name uncultured bacterium. Its description in RNAcentral is "partial 16S ribosomal RNA". It matches the Rfam family "Bacterial small subunit ribosomal RNA", at positions 28 to 507 of the family's 1533-position model. The record is from RNAcentral.